UACGUAGGGUGCAAGCGUUAUCCGGAAUUAUUGGGCGUAAAGAGCUCGUAGGCGGUUUGUCGCGUCUGCUGUGAAAACCCGAGGCUCAACCUCGGGCCUGCAGUGGGUACGGGCAGACUAGAGUGCGGUAGGGGAGAUUGGAAUUCAUGGUGUAGCAGUGAAAUGCGUAGAGAUCAUGAGGAAGACCAGUGGCGAAGGCGGGUCUCUGGACAGUUCCUGACACUGAGGCACGAAGGCCAGGGGAGCAAACGGG
RNAcentral lists this ribosomal RNA (253 nucleotides) under uncultured bacterium. Its description in RNAcentral is "partial 16S ribosomal RNA". It matches the Rfam family "Bacterial small subunit ribosomal RNA", at positions 524 to 776 of the family's 1533-position model. The record is from RNAcentral.